AGAGUUUGAUCCUGGCUCAGGAUGAACGCUAGCUACAGGCUUAACACAUGCAAGUCGAGGGGCAGCAUGGUCUUAGCUUGCUAAGGCCGAUGGCGACCGGCGCGCGGGUGAGUAACACGUAUCCAACCUGCCGUCUACUCUUGGACAGCCUUCUGAAAGGAAGAUUAAUACAAGAUGGCAUCAUGAGUCCACAUGUUCACAUGAUUAAAGGUAUUCCGGUAGACGAUGGGGAUGCGUUCCAUUAGAUAGUAGGCGGGGUAACGGCCCACCUAGUCUUCGAUGGAUAGGGGUUCUGAGAGGAAGGUCCCCCACAUUGGAACUGAGACACGGUCCAAACUCCUACGGGAGGCAGCAGUGAGGAAUAUUGGUCAAUGGGCGAGAGCCUGAACCAGCCAAGUAGCGUGAAGGAUGACUGCCCUAUGGGUUGUAAACUUCUUUUAUAAAGGAAUAAAGUCGGGUAUGCAUACCCGUUUGCAUGUACUUUAUGAAUAAGGAUCGGCUAACUCCGUGCCAGCAGCCGCGGUAAUACGGAGGAUCCGAGCGUUAUCCGGAUUUAUUGGGUUUAAAGGGAGCGUAGAUGGAUGUUUAAGUCAGUUGUGAAAGUUUGCGGCUCAACCGUAAAAUUGCAGUUGAUACUGGAUAUCUUGAGUGCAGUUGAGGCAGGCGGAAUUCGUGGUGUAGCGGUGAAAUGCUUAGAUAUCACGAAGAACUCCGAUUGCGAAGGCAGCCUGCUAAGCUGCAACUGACAUUGAGGCUCGAAAGUGUGGGUAUCAAACAGGAUUAGAUACCCUGGUAGUCCACACGGUAAACGAUGAAUACUCGCUGUUUGCGAUAUACAGCAAGCGGCCAAGCGAAAGCGUUAAGUAUUCCACCUGGGGAGUACGCCGGCAACGGUGAAACUCAAAGGAAUUGACGGGGGCCCGCACAAGCGGAGGAACAUGUGGUUUAAUUCGAUGAUACGCGAGGAACCUUACCCGGGCUUAAAUUGCAGAUGAAUUACGGUGAAAGCCGUAAGCCGCAAGGCAUCUGUGAAGGUGCUGCAUGGCUGUCGUCAGCUCGUGCCGUGAGGUGUCGGCUUAAGUGCCAUAACGAGCGCAACCCUUGUUGUCAGCUACUAACAGGUUCUGCUGAGGACUCUGACAAGACUGCCAUCGUAAGAUGUGAGGAAGGUGGGGAUGACGUUAAAUCAGCACGGCCCUUACGUCCGGGGCUACACACGUGUUACAAUGGGGGGUACAGAGGGCCGCUACCACGCGAGUGGAUGCCAAUCCCCAAAACCUCUCUCAGUUCGGACUGGAGUCUGCAACCCGACUCCACGAAGCUGGAUUCGCUAGUAAUCGCGCAUCAGCCACGGCGCGGUGAAUACGUUCCCGGGCCUUGUACACACCGCCCGUCAAGCCAUGGGAGCCGGGGGUACCUGAAGUGCGUAACCGCGAGGAGCGCCCUAGGGUAAAACUGGUGACUGGGGCUAAGUCGUAACAAGGUA
Molecule: ribosomal RNA, 1486 nt
Filed under: metagenome
Description: bacterial SSU rRNA
Rfam family: Bacterial small subunit ribosomal RNA
Source: RNAcentral